UGGGGAAUAUUGGACAAUGGGCGAAAGCCUGAUCCAGCCAUUCCGCGUGUGUGAAGAAGGUCUUCGGAUCGUAAAGCACUUUAAGUUGGGAGGAAGGGCAGUAAGCGAAUACCUUGCUGUUUUUACGUUACCGACAGAAUAAGCACCGGCUAACUCUGUGCCAGCAGCCGCGGUAAUACAGAGGGUGCAAGCGUUAAUCGUAAUUACUGGGCGUAAAGCGCGCGUAGGUGGUUCGUUAAGUUGAAUGUGAAAGCCCCGGGCUCAACCUGGGAACUGCAUCCGAAACUGGCGAGCUAGAGUAGGGCAGAGGGUGGUGGAAUUUCCUGUGUAGCGGUGAAAUGCGUAGAUAUAGGAAGGAACACCAGUGGCGAAGGCGACCACCUGGGCUCAUACUGACACUGAGGUGCGAAAGCGUGGGGAGCAAACAGG
This 429-nucleotide ribosomal RNA is filed under the name Pseudomonadota bacterium. RNAcentral's name for it is "Proteobacteria bacterium partial 16S ribosomal RNA". It matches the Rfam family "Bacterial small subunit ribosomal RNA", at positions 355 to 776 of the family's 1533-position model. The record is from RNAcentral. Lineage: Bacteria; Pseudomonadati; Pseudomonadota.